RNAcentral lists this ribosomal RNA (910 nucleotides) under uncultured bacterium. RNAcentral's name for it is "bacterial SSU rRNA". It matches the Rfam family "Bacterial small subunit ribosomal RNA", at positions 8 to 916 of the family's 1533-position model. The record is from RNAcentral.
AGAGUUUGAUCCUGGCUCAGAACGAACGCUGGCGGCGUGGAUUAGGCAUGCAAGUCGAACGAGAACGGUUCUUCGGAACUUAGUAGAGUGGCGAAAGGGUGAGUAAUGCAUGGACAACCUACCCUCGAGAUGGGGAUAACUUCUCGAAAGGGGAGCUAAUACCCAAUGAGACCACGGAUCGCAUGUUCCGCGGUCAAAGAUAGCUUUGCCUUCGCUUGAGGAGGGGUCCAUGUCCUAUUAGCUUGUUGGCGGGGUAAGGGCCCACCAAGGCGAUGAUGGGUAGCCGGGCUGAGAGGCUGGCCGGCCACACUGGUACUGAGACACGGACCAGACUCCUACGGGAGGCAGCAGUGGGGAAUAUUGCGCAAUGGGGGAAACCCUGACGCAGCAACGCCGCGUGGGUGAUGAAGGCCUUCGGGUCGUAAAGCCCUGUCAGGAGGGAAGAAACCGGACUUGUUCCGCUGACGGUACCUCCAAAGGAAGCACCGGCUAACUCCGUGCCAGCAGCCGCGGUAAUACGGAGGGUGCAAGCGUUGUUCGGAAUUACUGGGCGUAAAGGGCGCGUAGGCGGCCGAUCAAGUCUGGUGUGAAAGCCCGGGGCUCAACCCCGGAAGUGCACUGGAAACUGGUUGGCUUGAGUUCGGGAGAGGAAGGCAGAAUUCCCGGUGUAGGAGUGAAAUCCGUAGAGAUCGGGAGGAAAAUCAGUGGCGAAGGCGGCCUUCUGGAACGAAACUGACGCUGAGGCGCGAAAGCGUGGGGAGCAAACAGGAUUAGAGACCCUGGUAGUCCACGCCGUAAACGAUGGAUGCUUGGUGUGGGGAUCAUUUAGGAUUUCCGUGCCGGAGCUAACGCAAUAAGCAUCCCGCCUGGGGAGUACGGUCGCAAGACUAAAACUCAAAGGAAUUGACGG